Brienomyrus brachyistius is the source of this 926-nucleotide long non-coding RNA. RefSeq lists it as uncharacterized. The record is from RefSeq and is a predicted model, not a curated record. The transcript is spliced from 4 exons. NCBI's taxonomy places the organism in Eukaryota, Metazoa, Chordata, Actinopteri, Osteoglossiformes, Mormyridae.
UGACGAAGCUGCAGUUACAUGAUACGCGGAAAAGAGUGAAGCCUUAUUCACAUCAGUGUGAAAUGUAAAAGACUUUAUAAAAGACCUUUCUUUUCACAGUCAGCAUUCAGCCGAUUCCAACCUUCCAAAGAGGUGUUUUGUACUAAGAAGUUGCAGGAACUUGCAGGAAUUGCAGGAUGAGAUUGUGGAUGCUUACAAUGUGUGUGCUUCUCUCUGCCUGUUACGUUACACAGCAGCUGAAAUGUAACCACUGCAUAGACAUCAGAGAGAUGCCCGACUGCAGCCUUCCUGUGGAGAUCGACUGCAGCCCACCUCACAGCUACUGCCUGAAUAUGACAAUGUACCCCCCUGCCUAUGGCAUCGUCCGACGCUGUGCCACCGCGCGGGACUGCACGUAUAUAAAAAGCAGGCCUGUGCACCUGAUGGACGCAAACUGCUGUAAGACCGAUCUCUGCAACUGAGCUCAGCUGAGCCGAUUGGAGAAGAAGCUUCCUUGCCUGGACCUAGCGAAUCAGUAGCUCAUUCUGCAUUUAGUGGAACCAAUCAUGGAUCGCGAGCUGAAAUAAAGUGGUAUUGCUGGCAGUCUUUGUUAUUUUUGCUAAUUAAUCAUUUUAUUUAAUCCUAGGAUACUGGCACAUAAUGGCCAUGAUAUUGCACAUAAUUAAUUACUUUGAACUUGAGUAAUGACACCUUGAAACUGAAAAUAAAGCUUAUUGCUUUGUAUUUCUUUUAGAUUCAGGGGUGAAAUACGUUUAUAGAAAUCUAUAGAAUAUCCACAGAAUGUCUAUGUACUACCUAUUCCCAGCUGUUGUACUGUAUCAAACCCCAAACUGUAAAGAACUGCAAAGUCCUGUCAUUUUUUGUCAUAAAUAGAUUGCCUGCAAUGAUUUACAAGGUUCACUGAUCAUUAAAAUGCACAAAACGCU